AAAAACUUCGGCAAGAACGUGGAGCUUGUGUGUGAGACUUGUGUGCUAACUUAGACCACAAGCCCCCUCACGAGCCCUGUUUUUACGAACCCUGUGUGAACCGUAAUAUUUAUUCCAUCCACGUAAUACGAAAUUUCUAGUCUAAAGUCUUCUUCAUAUCACGAGAAUAUGAUAAAAG
Molecule: unclassified non-coding RNA, 178 nt
Filed under: soil metagenome
Description: partial internal transcribed spacer 1
Source: RNAcentral